UACGUAGGGUGCGGGCGUUAAUCGGAAUUACUGGGCGUAAAGCGUGCGCAGGCGGUUUUGUAAGCCAGAUGUGAAAUCCCCGGGCUUAACCUGGGAAUGGCAUUUGGGACUGCAAGGCUGGAGUGUGGCAGAGGAGACUGGAAUUCCUGGUGUAGCAGUGAAAUGCGUAGAUAUCAGGAGGAAUACCGAUGGCGAAGGCAGGUCUCUGGGCUGACACUGACGCUCAUGCACGAAAGCGUGGGGAGCAAACAGG
This 253-nucleotide ribosomal RNA is filed under the name uncultured bacterium. RNAcentral's name for it is "partial 16S ribosomal RNA". It matches the Rfam family "Bacterial small subunit ribosomal RNA", at positions 524 to 776 of the family's 1533-position model. The record is from RNAcentral.